AACGCGAAGAACCUUACCAGCCCUUGACAUGGGGAGUAUGGGCCUGAGAGAUCGGGUCCUUCAGUUCGGCUGGCUCCCGCACAGGUGCUGCAUGGCUGUCGUCAGCUCGUGUCGUGAGAUGUUGGGUUAAGUCCCGCAACGAGCGCAACCCUCGUCUUCAGUUGCCAUCACGUUUGGGUGGGCACUCUGAAGAAACUGCCGGUGACAAGCCGGAGGAAGGUGGGGAUGACGUCAAGUCCUCAUGGCCCUUACGGGCUGGGCUACACACGUGCUACAAUGGCGGUGACAGAGGGGAGCGACGGGGCGACCCUGAGCCAAUCCCGAAAAGCCGUCUCAGUUCGGAUUGCAGGCUGCAACCCGCCUGCAUGAAGUCGGAGUUGCUAGUAACCGUGGGUCAGCACACCGCGGUGAAUAUGUUCCCGGGCCUUGUACACACCGAGUAUA
Molecule: ribosomal RNA, 444 nt
Filed under: uncultured bacterium
Lineage: Bacteria
Description: bacterial SSU rRNA
Rfam family: Bacterial small subunit ribosomal RNA
Source: RNAcentral